RNAcentral lists this ribosomal RNA (492 nucleotides) under uncultured bacterium. RNAcentral's name for it is "partial 16S ribosomal RNA". It matches the Rfam family "Bacterial small subunit ribosomal RNA", at positions 29 to 507 of the family's 1533-position model. The record is from RNAcentral.
AGUGAACGCUGGCGGUAGGCCUAACACAUGCAAGUCGAACGGCAGCACAGUAAGAGCUUGCUCUUACGGGUGGCGAGUGGCGGACGGGUGAUGAAUACAUCGGAAUCUACUUGUUCGUGGGUGAUAACGUAGGGAAACUUACGCUAAUACCGCAUACGACCUACGGGUGAAAGCAGGGGAUCUUCGGACCUUUCGCGAUUGAAUGAGCCGAUGUCGGAUUAGUUAGUUGGCGGGGUAAAGGCCCACCAAGGCGACGAUCCGUAGCUGGUCUGAGAGGAUGAUCAGCCACACUGGAACUGGGACACGGUCCAGACUCCUACGGGAGGCAGCAGUGGGGAAUAUUGGACAAUGGGCGAAAGCCUGAUCCAGCCAUACCGCGUGGGUGAAGAAGGCCUUCGGGUUGUAAAGCCCUUUUGUUGGGAAAGAAAAGCAGCAGGUUAAUACCCCGCUGUUCUGACGGUACCCAAAGAAUAAGCACCGGCUAACUUCGUG